CAGGUCUUUGCUGGUGAUUCUCCGGUACUGGCUCAAGCAGUGGACCUGAGGAGAGAUGAAAGCAGAGGGCAGCUCUAACCCAGCCACGGUG
This 91-nucleotide long non-coding RNA is filed under the name Felis catus (domestic cat). RNAcentral describes it as "lncRNA (ENSFCAG00000046224.2)". Lineage: Eukaryota; Metazoa; Chordata; Mammalia; Carnivora; Felidae. The record is from RNAcentral.